AUGAGUGAUUAUCCAAUUUUACAACUCUUUCUUCAAAGAAUAUAUGACAAAAAGGCAUUACUCAAUUAUCUGACAGGUAAGGAGAAAUAUCACUUAUUGCAAGUUUUAUACUGUGAGCUGUUUUUGCAGCAUAGCUAUAAUUCAAAGAAGCUUUCUAUGUGGGGCAAAAAAAUUGUAUAUUAUGAGUAA
Vicia faba (fava bean) is the source of this 189-nucleotide non-coding RNA. The record is from the annotation of a GenBank genome assembly. NCBI's taxonomy places the organism in Eukaryota, Viridiplantae, Streptophyta, Magnoliopsida, Fabales, Fabaceae.